CAGUGCCCCUUCACCCUCGUACACCUUGAUGAGUAUGUUCGUCUGGUUGUCAACAUUGGUCGUGUAAUUCCCGUCCAUCUUCACGGGGAUGGUGGUGUUCCUGGGUACCAGCACACUCAUGAUACCACCUACUACCUCCACCCCGAGCGAGAGAGGUGUGACGUCAAGCAGGAGCAAGUCCUGCACCUUCUGGUCGUAUUCGCCGUUGAGGAUGGCGGCCUGGAUAGCAGCCCCGUAGGCGACGGCCUCGUCUGGAUUGAUUUUCUUGCAGAGCAUCUUCCCGUCAAAGAAAUCCUGCAGCAUAUGCUGCACCUUGGGGAUCUUGGUGGAGCCGCCGACGAGCACAACGUCAUGGAUCUGUGA
RNAcentral lists this ribosomal RNA (363 nucleotides) under Triticum aestivum (bread wheat). RNAcentral describes it as "partial small subunit ribosomal RNA". Lineage: Eukaryota; Viridiplantae; Streptophyta; Magnoliopsida; Poales; Poaceae. The record is from RNAcentral.